GAUGAACGCUGGCGGCGUGCUUAACACAUGCAAGUCGAACGGAAAGGCCCAAGCUUGCUUGGGUACUCGAGUGGCGAACGGGUGAGUAACACGUGGGUGAUCUGCCCUGCACUUCGGGAUAAGCCUGGGAAACUGGGUCUAAUACCGGAUAGGACCACAUUUUGGAUGGUGUGGUGGAAAGUUUUUCGGUGUGGGAUGAGCUCGCGGCCUAUCAGCUUGUUGGUGGGGUAAUGGCCUACCAAGGCGUCGACGGGUAGCCGGCCUGAGAGGGUGUACGGCCACAUUGGGACUGAGAUACGGCCCAGACUCCUACGGGAGGCAGCAGUGGGGAAUAUUGCACAAAGGGCGCAAGCCUGAUGCAGCGACGCCGCGUGGGGGAUGACGGCCUUCGGGUUGUAAACUCCUUUCGCUAGGGACGAAGCGUUAUGUGACGGUACCUGGAGAAGAAGCACCGGCUAACUACGUG
RNAcentral lists this ribosomal RNA (466 nucleotides) under uncultured bacterium. RNAcentral's name for it is "partial 16S ribosomal RNA". It matches the Rfam family "Bacterial small subunit ribosomal RNA", at positions 28 to 507 of the family's 1533-position model. The record is from RNAcentral.